Molecule: long non-coding RNA, 1968 nt
Organism: Oncorhynchus keta (chum salmon)
Lineage: Eukaryota; Metazoa; Chordata; Actinopteri; Salmoniformes; Salmonidae
Exons: 3
Source: RefSeq, a predicted model, not a curated record
CUCAGUCAGUCUGCAAUUUUUAGCCAUUUGUUCCUGCUUAGAUCCUGUUUUCGUGUUAUGCCUGAUUUCCCUUGCCUGGCACGGUUUUCCUCUCCGCUACAGUCCUGCCCGCUCUGACUUAGGCCCGUCUCCAGUCCCACGUCUCGGUCCUGCUACUCUGUCCUGGACCCCCCCACUCCACAGUGUCCUUGGAUUUGAUGAGUUGGUGUCAAGGGAUGAGCCGGAUGGACUGGAGGAGCUCAUCUCCCUCGCCACCACAUUGACUACCGUCUCCGUGAGCGUCGGAGGGAGAGGGCAGGUGUGCUGGAGGCAGCGCUGAUCCCCACCAGCUGCAACCUGUUCCAUAAUCAAGACCUCUACAAAUACUCAACCAAGCCACUUCCACGCUGCCAGAUUGUAGCCUCUUCUCAUUCUGCCCACUCUGUCUUUGGCCCCUGUCUCCAGUCCCAUGCACCCCCCCAUUCCACAGUCCCAUGCACCCCCCCACUCCACAGCGUCCUUGGAUUCCUCUCUGGACCUGCUUACCCAAUACCAACCAGCCUCAGCCUCCGCACCUGGCUUCCUGCAACCCGCCCGAGCUUCCCCUGGCCUGCACCCCAUGUUCCCCCUGUGUUUCAAGAAAUACCUUGGUUACCUCAUCCCAGUCUCCUCGUCUGAGUCUGCUCUUGGGUUCACCUGCUCCGCACCACGUGACAUUUUUACUAUUUUCUACACUGUAGAAUUAAUAGUGAAGACAUCAAAACUAUGAAGUAACACAUGUGGAAUCAUGUAAUAAUCAAAGUGUUAAACAAAUCCAAAUAUAUUUUAGGUUCCUCAAAGUAGCUACCCUUUGCCUUGAUGACAGCUUUCCAGCAAUGGACUGUCGUUUCGCUUUGUUAUUUGAGCUGUUCUUGCCAUAACAUGGGUCAAGCGCAUUAAGGAAAGAAAUUCCACAAAUUUACUUUUGACAAGGCACACUACCUCAUGAAGCUGGUUGAGAGAAUGCCAAGAGUGUGCAAAGCUGUCAAGGCAAAGGGUGGCUACUUUGAAGAAUCUGAAAUGGUACACAGCAUUGUAUGAGAUCUUCAGUUUCUUGGCAAUUUCUCGCAUGGAAUAGCCUUCAUUUCUCAGAAGAGGAGACGAGUUUCAGAAGAAAUACAAUUCUGGCCAUUUUGAGCCUGUAAUCGAACCCACAAAUGCUGAUGCUCCAGAUACUCAACUAGUCUAAAGAAUGAAUUUUAUUGCUUCUUUAAUCAGAACGGUUUAACUGUGUUAACAUAAUUGCAAAAUAGUUUUCUGAUGAUCAAUUAGCCUUUUAAAAUGAUAAACUUGGAUUAACAACGUGCCAUUGAAACACAGUGAUUGUUGCUGAUAAUGGGCCUCUGUACGCCUACGUAGAUAUUCCAUUAAAAAAGAUCCUGUUUCCAGCUACAAUGGUCAUUUACAACAUUAACAAUGUCUACACUGUAUUUUUGAUACAUUUGAUGCUAUUUUAAUGGACAAAAAAUGAGCUUUUUAAAAAAACAAGGACAUUUCUAAGUGACCCCAAACGUUUGAAUGGUUGUGUGUGUAUAUAUGAGGCAUAUCUGCUUUGCUAACAAUAGGAGUUGAGUGUAGAAUAAGUGGACCAUGUGAACUACUAGGGAGCGCUGAGGGCAUGAGAACCGGCCAGUGUGUCUCUGAGGAUUAACUACAUCUAACCUGUCAGAUUCUAGAAAGAUUCUUGGAUUAUGGCUUUAUGGGUAUCCAAUUAUUGCAGGACCUGAAGCAACCUCUGGGUGUGAAGAGCACUCCAGUCAAUGACUGUGUACUAAGGGUCAGUCAGAGUUUCGACAAGAGGCCUCUUUGGGCAAAGACCAGUUAACAUGAGGCUGUGAGAACCAGUUAGAAGAAGAUGUCUGCCACCACUGUUUGCAAUGGAUAUUAAGGGCUGGAAACUGUAGGCGUGUUGCCGGCAUUUCCAGUAAAUGUUGUGAAUAUCCAGUGAUA